Molecule: transfer RNA, 84 nt
Filed under: Candidatus Kaiserbacteria bacterium
Lineage: Bacteria; Candidatus Kaiseribacteriota
Description: tRNA-Leu
Rfam family: tRNA
About the family: Transfer RNA (tRNA) molecules are approximately 80 nucleotides in length. Their secondary structure includes four short double-helical elements and three loops (D, anti-codon, and T loops).
Source: RNAcentral
GCCCGGGUGGUGAAAUUGGUAGACACGCGAGACUUAAAAUUUCGUGACCUUCUGGUCGUGCGGGUUCGAUUCCCGCCCCGGGCA